GGAGGGGAGUGAAAGAGAACCUGAAACCAUAUGCUUACAAGAAGUUAGAGCCCGUUAAAGGGUGAUAGCGUGCCUUUUGUAGAAUGAACCGGCGAGUUACGAUAUGGAGCGAGGUUAAGCAGGAUAUGCGGAGCCGAAGCGAAAGCGAGUCUUAACAGGGCGCAAGUUGCAUGUCGUAGACCCGAAACCGAGUGAUCUAGCCAUGACCAGGUUGAAGUUGGGGUAAAACCCGAUGGAGGACCGAACCGACCCCCGUUGAAACGUUGGCGGAUGAGUUGUGGCUAGGGGUGAAAUUCCAAUCGAACUCGGAGAUAGCUGGUUCUCCCCGAAAUAGCUUUAGGGCUAGCGUUGUGUUAGUUUACCGGAGGUAGAGCACUGAAUUGGCUAAGGGGCGAUGAGCUUACUGAACCUUAUCAAACUUCGAAUGCCGGAUAAAUGGUGCACAGCAGUCAGACAGUGUGAGAUAAGUUUCAUUGUCAAGAGGGAAACAGCCCAGACCCACAGCUAAGGUCCCAAAUGAACGCUAAGUGGAAAACGAUGUGGGGUUGCAGAAACAACCAGGAUGUUGGCUUAGAGGCAGCCACUCAUUAAAAGAGUGCGUAAUAGCUCACUGGUCGAGUGACCCUGCGCGGAAAAUAUAACGGGGCUAAGCGUCCAACCGAAGCUUGGGAUGUCUAAGGACAUGGUAGGGGAGCGUCGUGUAUAGGGAGAAGCAUGAGCGAGAGCACAUGUGGACAGUACACGAGUGAGAAUGCCGGAAUGAGUAGCGAGAAUUAUGUGGGAAUCAUAAUGGCCGAAAAUCUAAGGUUUCUUGGGGAAGGUUCGUCCGCCCAAGGUAAGCCGGGAGCUAAGGCGAGGCCGAAAGGCGUAGUCGAUGCACAUACGGUUGAAAUUCCGUAGCCGCCGAAAUUGUUAAGCACAGGGACACAUAGAGAUAUCCGAACCCGGGCGUUGGUCGACCCGGGCGCAAGGGACCGAACAUCAGUAGGGAAGUCGGAGAUGCUCUGUGGCGAGAAAAGCUGUGUGUAUUGAUUAGGCGCCCGUACCGCAAACCGACACAGGUAGAUGAGGAGAGAAUCCUAAGGCCAACGGGAGAAGGGUUGUUAAGGAACUCGGCAAAUUGACCCCGUAACUUCGGGAUAAGGGGAGCCUCCUACGGGAGGCCGCAGUGAAUAGGCCCAAGCAACUGUUUACCAAAAACACAGGUCUCUGCUAAAUCGAAAGAUGACGUAUAGGGGCUGACGCCUGCCCGGUGCUGGAAGGUUAAGAGGAGAUGUUAGCCGCAAGGCGAAGCAUUGAAUCGAAGCCCCAGUAAACGGCGGCCGUAACUAUAACGGUCCUAAGGUAGCGAAAUUCCUUGUCAGGUAAGUUCUGACCCGCACGAAUGGCGUAAUGAUUUGGGCACUGUCUCAACAGCCCGCCCGGCGAAAUUGUAGUACUGGUGAAGAUGCCAGUUACCCGCAACUAGACGGAAAGACCCCAUGGAGCUUUACUGUAGCCUAAUACUGAAGAUCGGUAAUGCAUGUACAGGAUAGGUGGGAGCCAGCGAAACCCGGGCGUCAGCUUGGAUGGAGGCAACCUUGGAAUACCACCCUUGUAUUGCUGGUUUUCUAACCUGCGGCCAUGAAUCUGGUCGGGGGACACUGUUAGGUGGGCAGUUUGACUGGGGCGGUCGCCUCCAAAAGCGUAACGGAGGCGCUCAAAGGUUGGCUCAGCACGGACGGAAAUCGUGCAUAGAGUGCAAACGCAUAAGCCAACUUGACUGCGAGACCGACGGGUCGAGCAGGUACGAAAGUAGGAGUUAGUGAUCCGGUGGUAUGUGAGUGGAAAUGCCAUCGCUCAACGGAUAAAAGCUACCCUGGGGAUAACAGGCUGAUCUCCCCCAAGCGU
RNAcentral lists this ribosomal RNA (1890 nucleotides) under human gut metagenome. Its description in RNAcentral is "bacterial LSU rRNA". It matches the Rfam family "Bacterial large subunit ribosomal RNA", at positions 530 to 2499 of the family's 2925-position model. The record is from RNAcentral.